UACGUAGGGCGCAAGCGUUGUCCGGAAUUAUUGGGCGUAAAGAGCUCGUAGGCGGCUUGUCACGUCGGGUGUGAAAGCCCGGGGCUUAACCCCGGGUCUGCAUUCGAUACGGGCAGGCUAGAGUGUGGUAGGGGAGAUCGGAAUUCCUGGUGUAGCGGUGAAAUGCGCAGAUAUCAGGAGGAACACCGGUGGCGAAGGCGGGUCUCUGGGCCGACACUGACGCUGAUGCGCGAAAGCCAGGGGAGCGAACGGG
This 253-nucleotide ribosomal RNA is filed under the name uncultured bacterium. RNAcentral's name for it is "partial 16S ribosomal RNA". It matches the Rfam family "Bacterial small subunit ribosomal RNA", at positions 524 to 776 of the family's 1533-position model. The record is from RNAcentral.